AUGCACGCUGGCGGCGUGCUUCACACAUGCAAGUCGCACGAAGCACUUUAUUUGAUUUCCUUCGGGACUGAUUAUUUUGUGACUGAGUGGCGGACGGGUGAGUAACGCGUGGGUAACCUGCCUUGUACAGGGGGAUAACAGUUGGAAACGGCUGCUAAUACCGCAUAAGCGCACGGCAUCGCAUGAUGCAGUGUGAAAAACUCCGGUGGUAUAAGAUGGACCCGCGUUGGAUUAGCUAGUUGGUGAGGUAACGGCCCACCAAGGCGACGAUCCAUAGCCGACCUGAGAGGGUGACCGGCCACAUUGGGACUGAGACACGGCCCAAACUCCUACGGGAGGCAGCAGUGGGGAAUAUUGCACAAUGGGCGAAAGCCUGAUGCAGCGACGCCGCGUGAGCGAAGAAGUAUUUCGGUAUGUAAAGCUCUAUCAGCAGGGAAGAUAAUGACGGUACCUGACUAAGAAGCACCGGUUAAAUACGUG
This 480-nucleotide ribosomal RNA is filed under the name uncultured bacterium. RNAcentral describes it as "partial 16S ribosomal RNA". It matches the Rfam family "Bacterial small subunit ribosomal RNA", at positions 29 to 507 of the family's 1533-position model. The record is from RNAcentral.